UACGGGGGGGGCAAGCGUUGUUCGGAAUUACUGGGCGUAAAGGGCGCGUAGGCGGCCUGCUAAGUCGAACGUGAAAUCCCCGGGCUCAACCCGGGAACUGCGUCCGAUACUGGCAGGCUUGAAUUCGGGAGAGGGAUGCGGAAUUCCAGGUGUAGCGGUGAAAUGCGUAGAUAUCUGGAGGAACACCGGUGGCGAAGGCGGCAUCCUGGACCGAAAUUGACGCUGAGGCGCGAAAGCCAGGGGAGCAAACGGG
Molecule: ribosomal RNA, 253 nt
Filed under: uncultured bacterium
Lineage: Bacteria
Description: partial 16S ribosomal RNA
Rfam family: Bacterial small subunit ribosomal RNA
Source: RNAcentral